This 200-nucleotide long non-coding RNA is filed under the name Elaeis guineensis (African oil palm). RNAcentral describes it as "long non-coding RNA (EGUI_LNC051512)". Lineage: Eukaryota; Viridiplantae; Streptophyta; Magnoliopsida; Arecales; Arecaceae. The record is from RNAcentral.
UUUUGAGUUCUAGUUUAGGUGCUUCCUCAAUUGAUGGCUUGUGUAUUGGUUCAUCCAUCCUUACAAGUGGUUCGACAGGUGGUUGCCAUUGUGAAUGAACUCUCUGGUCAUAGGAUGUAGACAGUUCAUAAGCAAUUUCAGAUUCUAAGUCCAACUAGAGAUUACAGUCAAAAUCUUCUUUUUCUGGAUCAAUGGGCUCA